AGACUACAUUUGCUGCACAGUUGAAUAAACACGCUGCCAAACUCAUGGAAGUUGUACGAAGAAAAGGAGGAGCUAUUGGAGACAAUGCUGCAGGGAUUCUACAUGAUCAUGAUGAGGCUUCAUCAAACGGUUCACUGAACGCAUCUACACGAAGGCAGUGUCUUCUGAAGUUACUGAUGGUUUUCCUGGGAGACCCUGUGGAUGCAAUCAUCAAAGAACAUCAGGUAUAACAGGCUAAACAAUGACCUGCAAGAUUCGAAUGUGGAAGUAGAGACCCUGGCAGUCAUCCUAACGCCCACAGAUGUGAAAAUCAUUCUGGAAGGCGAAGAGGUUAUGGCUGAUCUGCAUUCGGUGGUCGACGGAUUCGUCAUGCUGUUUGGGCUCAUUUAUGCCCUCAACAUGCAGUACCC
Molecule: long non-coding RNA, 410 nt
Filed under: Gouania willdenowi (blunt-snouted clingfish)
Lineage: Eukaryota; Metazoa; Chordata; Actinopteri; Blenniiformes; Gobiesocidae
Description: lncRNA (ENSGWIG00000003558.1)
Source: RNAcentral